GCAUGGCGUGGCCUUGCUUUCAAUUCGUUUUUGAAUCAUCUUGGAUGAUCUUGGGCCAACGGCCAAAGUGUCCGGCGUCCAGCGUCCAGCGUUUUCCUCCCUGCUGCAAGCUGCAUUAUUGUUAGGCCUUCGUUAUUAUUAGGAGUGGGAGGCUGUGCUGCUGUGUGAACGCCUCUAGUCGAUAAAUUAAAGAACCCACCAUGCCGCACUUCCCAACCAAAAGACAUCAUGUCAAUGAAGACCUGUUCGAGUGGAGAGUGCCGAAAGUCGGUAAAUUUGAUGAUAAUAAUAGAGUCGAUGAGACCAGACCAGGGCUCCGGGAGCAGGGAUUCAUCAGGACAGAGUGUCAGGCCAGUGAUUCAGUAUGGAGCAUGUCCAUUGUAAAUCACACUUCUAAUGACAACAGAUGCGGAAAUGCCCAGUGGGAAAGUCAUGAUACGGACGCCUCUAACCAGCAUCUGACUUGUUUCCAAUUUUCAGUUGGUUCUCACGCUCAUAUCAAUUCACUGCAUGAGCAGGGAGACUGUGCCAUGCAACUGCAACCCUCUAUGACUGUAUCUCAGACAGGUGUACCUCACACUGGUCUGCACUUUUUGCCUCAGCAAGGAGGGAUCCAAGCUCCUGUUCAUCUCCUUUCCAAUCAGCCUUUAGCCUCUCCACAUUUUGCAGCAGAAACUCAUAGUCAAGGAAUUUGCAAUCCUAUUGAAGACAAGUUCCCUGUGAAUAGCUACCCUGUAUCAAGUGUGAAUGACAGACCUUGUCCAGAAUGUGCGGCUGGAAAAUCGGGCCACAUCAGGCACAUUGGAAGAUGGAGACUAAUGGACUCCUGAGGUCGCUGUAAGGAUGUUGCGUGACUACAGUGAGCUGCUAACCAAGAAAGAAUGAUCUCAGAUAAGAUCUGAAAGCACUUGCCAGUGAUGUUUAGCUUCCAGAUUAUCAGGAUAGAUAUAGUAGAUUUUGAGAUGUGUUUUUAUUAUACUGUAUUUGAGGCUCAGUUACUUUUUUGUUAUCAGUGGAGACCAAUAUGUGUGCUUUGUUGUUCAAUAUAAAUUAGGUGGUAGCAGAGAAAAUGAUCUCAGAUAAGAUAUGAAUACACUUGCCAGUGAUUCUCAGCUUCCAGCUCAUUGGGAUAGAUUUAGUAGAUUUUGAGAGGUAGGCGGUUGGCAGGUGCUCUGGUGUAGUUUGCUCCUUCUUCCCUUUUUCGAACAUCUAUCUUCCGCAUGCAUGGAGCCAAGGAGAUUUGCUACUGUUAACUCUUUUUAUUGAAGCAAAGACACAAAAUCACUCAAAGGAUUUCUAAAAUUAUGCAACAGUUUUGUCGAAAACAUAUUCAAAUUAUGUGGAAUGUUACUGGACAUACAGCGGAAAAAAUUUCUAAUCUGCAAUACAUAAAUGUAUCUUGUGCUUUAGUAUAAAAGUUAGAAGAGUUCAUACCUUACAGUGAGUACACAAGAAGUUGUGCAAUUCCUUUAAUUCCUUUCCCUUUUGCGUUCAGAUGUUGUUUUAAAACAAUAGGUUUACCAGGAGGGGAUUUUUUUUAAUGGUUAGUCAGACACAACACUCUUCAGGAAUCAGUGUGUGGGUUUUUAUUCUUUUCCUCUUGACAACUGACAAAGUAAUGUUUUCAGCAUUUGUACGUUUGGGAAAGGGUAGGAGAUCCACUGGACAUGAGCAGGAGUUCCCAGGUUAUUUUGGUCCAGAAUGAAAAUUAUAACUAUAGUUUCGGUUAGGAUGAACUGAGGUUUCGUUGUAGAUCUCAAAUUUUUCGAGGUAUCUGAUAUUAUGGAGCUUAAAUGCAUGUGAUGAAGUCACAUAAGUCGACAGAACGACUCUGGUAUGCCCAAUGGACUAGGUUCUAGUCAAUUCAUAUGUCUCAGCUAGCUUUUUUUGACAAUAUUUUGAUAUCUCAAAUGCACAAAUUUUGUUUUCUGAAUACAUGUUUAGAUUAUUUUGUAUCACAACUUUUUUUUACAACGAUAAUCAUUAUCAUGAUGUAUGCUGUACUUUCAUAUUUUGUGAGUUUUAUUAAUGUAUUGACAAUUUUUAAAAUUUUAUACAGUACACACUUUCUUGAGCAGUUCACAGAUUUUUAGAACAAUAAUGGCACAAAACCAUGAAACAUAAUAUUGUUUUGAAGUCUGGCACAAUAACUGUGUUUGAUGAAAUAUUUUAAAAUCUACUUUUGGUGUGAAGAAAGACUACAUUUUAAAAAGGUUUUGAGACAUACUACUUAAUGUUUUCAUUGUUGUUUGUGUGUGAAGACCACGAGGAAAAUCCUGAUAAAUCACAAAGUUACUUCUGAGUAAUUUGAAUUUUAAAAUAAAAAACUGCAAUUUAUUAUUUAGUGUUGUAUGGUAUUGUAGAUCUGUUUAGUGGUAUCUCUAACUUCCUACUGGUAUCUAGAUCUAGAUAUUGGCUGUCUCUAUUGGGUAUGGCGUCGGUAGUCUAGUGGUUAGGCUACUGGACCCGUAUUCGUAAUAUUGUGGAUUUGCGAGGGAGACACUCUGCUUUUGGGUGUUACAGGGCCACACUGCAGAUUUGGUCAGCUUCGACAGUUUGAGCACAUUCUCAUUCUCAUGUUUGUAUAGCUCACUGAUGUCACUCCAGCUUGCAAAACGAGUUUCUCCAGUUGAAGUGCUGACCAAAGGAAAGGACAGAGUCUUUGUUGGUUCUGUUUUCCAGUUUUUCCUGAUAUUCUUUAGUAUGUGUGUGGGAUCAUACAACAAGAACACAGGUUGUGACGGAUUGGAGGGUGAUGGAACGAUCCAUGGGGAUUGGGAGUUGAAAGGUGUGAGUAUCUUGAAGAAUGCUUGGUUCACUCUGUUGUUGUCGUUUAUCACAGAAAUAACUUUGCCUCCACAUUCCUCAAGCAUUGGUGAUGACGCUGCUGACAACUUCUAAGAGAAAGUCACUUUUGAGAGUUGCGACGGGGACCAGCUUAGUGAGGAGAUUAUUGCCCGUAGAAGACACUUUACCAUGACUGCUAGGACUGUUGUUACCUUGUAUGUCUUGUCAUCCUCUGCGAAGCCAUAGAGUUAAUCGCUCCAGUACUGGUUGGAAGCCUUUACAUACAUCUCAUCUGCAAGGAUGAUACAUGCUUUGCUCCUGUCUAGCUGAGAUUGAAAUAUGUUGUAGAAAAGUGUGAGGUCAUUGGUGUUCUUUGAUUUCUGUGUGAUUUGUCCAAGAGUUGAAAUGGAUGGGAGUUUCGAGGGACAGUGCAGUUUUGAGUUUUGUAUACCAAAAUAAUUCUCCUUGAAAUAGGCAACAACACUGGGAGAGGACACGUCUUUGAUUUUCUCCUUCGCCUCAUUAUACACAUCCUCUGUCUCGCAGACUUUCUGCUGCUGGAAAAAAGUCAGUGUAUAAUUCAUCACGUGGGUUGACACCUUCCUCUUAGAAAGUGCUCUUUUCACAAGCCAUUGAGGCAUGAAAAGAGCACAAUCUCAUUGAAACAUAUGGCAUCACAGAACAUUUGCCACCAGCUCCGCCAUGUUCUUGUCGUCAAACAUUGUUGUUGUUCUUGUGCUGUCAAAACAUCUGCAAAAGGAAGACAGACACAGGGACAAAAUAUCACUUGUUUCAGAAGAAACAAAUGCAUGCAACACAGGAAUGCGUUGCCUAUUCCCAUCGAUCGACAGAACAUUGAAUAGGGCAUAGUCACACAAAUUACAUUUGUAGGUGGCAUCCAUUACAAGUAUUUCUGGAAACUGGUCCUUUGUCUUUAUCAUGUCCUUUGUUAUAAAUGCAAGAUAUUGGAAAAUUCCAUUCUCUUGGGGUCCCGAUUGAACCUUCCGACAUUCUUCCUCAAUCUCAUCAAUCACUUUUUCAACCCUCUCGGGCUCAGUUUCUUCUGUGGUCUUGUCCAGCUUCUUGCGAAGGUUGUGGAUGUCCUUUGGGAUACUGCUUCACCUUGAUGUACGAUGAUACAUCCUUUGCACUGAUGGAUGGCAUGCCGAGGAUGUCUUGCAGUGCCUCAUUGGGGUCAGGUUGCCUUUUUUCAGGAUAUAACUCUGAGAACUGAAAUAGAAAAAAAAAAGUAGAAAUUUAAAAAGUGAAACUUUUUUGGCAAAAUUGAAUCAAUUGAUAUGUCAAAUCACGCAAGUAGAAUUUACAACUUGCUCAAUGGACAAUUUGUUCCUCCUUGAUCAAGUUGGAUCUGGAUAAGGAGGAACAAACAUCAACUUCUUGAGGCUUAAAUUGCACCCGGUUUCCUGACAAAUGUGAGGCAACCAGGGAUUUUCAGUCUCAAGUUGACCUUUGAACCUUUUUGAUAUAUAUUGAUAUUCUAAAACUACCUCCAUUUCUGAACAACCUGGUCUUUACAGAAUUAAAAAAGGACAAUUAAAAGCUGAGAUAUGGGCAUUUAAAGACAACCACCUGAGCAGAUCAACUUUUGAGAGAAUCGCGUUCAAAGUUGGAGCAACAAAAUUUCAAGAGAUUUUGCACCGAAAACAACCCAGAAACAUAAUACCACUGCCCUACAUACCUUAAUUGGUUACUGUUGGGUAUUUUCAAGUUAGAAUGAAGUGAGAAAAUGUUGUUUUUAUUUAAUUUUUUUCUGUCAAGCCCUGCAGUGGGUGACUGAAGUGGAAAAAUUGAACGCGGCGAUUUCACAAAACUGCACACAUGUGCUGUCCACUGAUUUUUACCUUACCGGUAUUCUGUUUUCUUGAGAGCUUUCGUUUCAAGAAAAGCUUUGCAAAGAAAUAAACUAUUAUUGAAUUUGAAAAGCAGUCAGUAUAUUUGAAGUUAAAAGACAAAUAAUUUGAUAACAGAAUAAUAAACAUACCCAGUACAGCAAAAAAUAAAAGCAGAGGGUUUUUUUUUCCCAGGAAAAGCAUAGUGUAAGGCCUUGAAAGAAUUGGCAGUAAAGUAGUAGAGAAAUUAAAGAGAAAACUAUCUGACUCACAAUAAUUUAAAGCAGCAUAGCAUCCAUCCAAUUUAUUUCUCGUGAGGUUCCUUGUCUAUUGUCUGGCAACAGCAUUGCCCCCAAUUCUAGGCCUCUUUGCAAGCUGCACAACAGGCUGGUCGGGGUCUGGGCAAACGUUGUCUUUAAAAGAAUCCUCAACAAAAGGUCUAAUCUCCUUGAAAAGAUAGUCCUGUCUUUUUCUGUCAAGUCCCUGUGGCUGUAAGAUAGGGGGGAGGAGGGUGGGGUCAAUCUCGGUGUCACAUUUCAAAAGGUGCUGCAACACUGGCUCAGAGCAGGCGAGAGGUUUGAGUGCCACGGUACCAGAUGUGUCGCUGAUUGUCAUAUGCUGGAAAGACUUGAUGUUUUUUACCUUUUUGAAAUGCUUAUCCAGAAAUGAGUCCCAUUUAUAUGAAACGACGUUCACAUUGUCCGGUCUGGUUCCGACGAUCUGGGCUGUGUUUACUACCGACGAUUCCUCCUCAACUUUAGCAAGGCACUGCAGGCUGUUCACUUUCGUUCUGCGAUACAGGCACUUUACAAGUCCAAAACGGCCAUCAGGGCUGAACUUCGUGUGGCCGGUAAUCAAAAAGGAAAUUAUAACAGAGUCAUGACGGCUAGUCAGCACACGCCACAUGAGAUAUUGCAUCAUAGCCGAGUUUUUGUUUUGGCCUGAGCAGUUGUCUGCAUGCAGAUGGAGGUGCUUCUCCCCCAAACCGUAGAACUCAAAAAAAUGAUGGAGGAGGGAGAUGACACAAUUUGCCCCUUUUCCAACACACACAGAUUCAUCAAUCAGGUAGUUUACCUGCUGCGGAACUGCUUCGCAACAAAUUCCGAAUGGGCCGCAUUUCCGUGGUGUCUUAAAAUAAAUGGGUCCACGCUGGAGGGGGUCUGAAGGAAAAUGCACCUGCUGUGCAAAGUCAAAGCUGUAGUGCAUAGUCAUGUCAUGCGAACAUGCUUGGUUUUUACCCAGAGUCCUUUUUUCUCCGUGAAGUGCUUCUUUCGACUUGCCCACAAUGCUGUUCAGAUAAGAGCGCUCGGCUGUGACAUUGGUCAAGUGCUGUUCCAUGGACCUCAGGGCAUCAGACUUUAGCUCCUCUGACAGGUUUCUGGACCUUGCAACCUGAGCAGCUCCUUCCUGACAAGUCCAGCAAAGAUCUGUAGCAGGCCGCAUGGUGCUGAUGAAUGGCACGAUUUUUUUCCAGACGUCCCGAAACUGAGUAAGGCUUGCAACCCGCUGAUCAGGUGCUGAAGAGGCGACAUACUUAUCGGACACCAUCUUCUUGCUGCAGUUUGUUGGUAAAAGUCUGAGGUUGCUGUUCCAGUGUUUUGGGGUGCGGCCAGGUAGUGAAAUGGCAUGCGUCCCAGCAUAGUUGGUGAUAAACAACACUACUCGCUCUACAUCCCUGUAGGCCAGUGUGUUUGGAGGCAACCUCUUGGUGUUCUUGUGAACGCGUGGUGUAAUGCCAGAAGACUUAUAAUGCUUCAAAAGCGCUGUGAGUUUAUCCUGUGAUAUUCCAUGAAUAUACUUGAACAUUUCACGACAGAUUGGGUGACCACGAUGAAAAAAAUGCGUGUGAGUAAGUUUUUGUUCGGUCUGUUCUCGCCUCCUUGCACACUUUGUAGUACUGGAAAGGUGCAUCCCACACUCAAUCUUUCCCAACACCACCAUGUCUAACUCCUGGUCAGUCAGUGCGAUGAACUGACUCCUCACCUCGUCCAACUCCUCUUCUGCAUAUCUUGUCCGGCACGGUUUUCCGUUGAAAAGGCUGCAUUUGCAAGCAAGCUGCGCUGACUUCUUUCGUGAAGUGAGCUCUGUCUCAUUUGUUGGUCUAGUUCCAGUUCCUGGGAGAAAGCUCGACAGGUUUUCAAUGGGAGUGAAGGUCACAGGCUCCUCGUCUUUAUCAUCUGAUGAAGAGAACAGGAAAGGGUGCUCUAAGUAAUCACAAAGGCAAAAGGUAGUCGCAACAUUCUGGAACACUAUGCCAACAAGCCAAGUGCCAUUACAAAUAGACAAGCAGUUAUCAUGUUGAUGUAUCGACUAAAGGUAAAAAUUGUUAUGAAUUGCUCAUGGAUCUACACAACACUUUCCUCAUAAGGUUCAAAGCGCUUUACAAUCUAUUAUGAUGUAUUGAGUUGAGGUAUGUUUUAGAAAAGGUGGAUUUUCUUCGCUUCGUCCUGAAAUUGAAUUUUGGGCUAGUGCUUAAGACUAAACUUGGAUCGCACCACUAAAUUUUAAUUUCAUUGCUAUUCUUGUGUCUCAUCUAUAAACUCAAGAUGUUAAUGUUAUACAAUUUCCAAUAAACUAGAUCUAGAUCUAUGAAAAGUAAAAGUAGCAUUCAACUGUUUAGGCUAGCAGAAUUACAACACAGUCGAAACACACCUUUUGUCUCAAUUACGAAAAACCAAAACUGAUGUCCUCGUUAAUUAAAACGUAGGAGGAACUUUCGUAACAAGCGACCACUCCGAUAGACACGGGGAAAAAGGGAUCAAUUAAGAUAAAUAAUCCCUUAUCGUAACUUUACCUAACCCUAUCCCUAACCUUGAACCUAGAACACUAAUCCUACGUAAACCUGACCCUCUCCUUUCAUUAAAAGUUACUUAUAAUCAGAGUGGUCACUCAUUACACAGAGGUCCUCUCAAAAUUUUAAUCUUACAAUCAUUUAAUGCAGUAGAUCUAGUCAUUAUUAUUAAUUAGACCUAGAUUUACGCACUUCAAAAUGAAUUUACCUGUAUCAGAAGAGGGGUGUUGUCCUGCAGUGGCAGCAGAUUCAGCAGACCUGUCUAGAUUUUGGAGGUUGUUCUCAGGGUCUGAGUCACUGUCACUGUGUUCCACAUCGCUUUCAGGGGACAAGUACUCGUUAAUAUGUUCAAGUAGCGCCUGCUUAUCGUCUGCAUUGCUACUACAGAAAUUAUAUCUGUUCAGCUGUUGUGGUAUACCAGUAACACUGUUUGUUGUCAAUCCAGUUUGUAGAUCUAAGCCCGCGUUUCGACCUGACUCCAUCUUAUAGAGUUCGGAAUGAGUGAAAAAUGAACGCAUUCAGCGUGGUCACAGAAAACUUUUUAAAACACUUGGUUUCGAGGACAAUAACAGCACUCAAUAUGUCCAAUGGUUAAAUUGAUUAAAAAAAGCAGCUCGCUGUGCAAAAUAUGUCUGACAAUUGUUCUCCCAGUCGCUAGAAUCGUCAAAGAAUUACACACUGAUUUGUAUUUGCCUCUGAAACAGAACCAACGCCAUUGAUAGGAUCUACACUCUUCUGUGUUGUGUGUAUUCAUGAGCACUUCCUGCAGUUAAAAUCUACAAGGAAUUACCUUUCCAACGAUACCAAAUACUCGAUAUUUAUUGCAAGGAAUGCUUGAACAAAAUUAUGUUCAUUGUGGUCUAUCGGCAGAAGGAAAUUAGCGUACAUUUCGAGAAAACUGUCCUCAAAUUCCUAUGAAGUGGGUUCAGUAAAACAAGAAAAGAACACAUUUAUAUCUCGUUUUAGCAGUUUUUUUAUUUCACCAGAACAUAGAAAAAUGGACAAAGAACACAAUGAAAGCAAAAACUCAAUUUCCAUAAAAUAUCGAUAUUUUGACUUUAGAAGCCGAUAUCUCGAAAGCGGUCAGCGCGACUUGCGACUGAAAAUCCCUGGCGGCCUCACAAAUACCUUCUUCUGGCCCAACAAUGUGAUUAGAAUGGUUGAGAAUGCAGGUUAGAAACACAACACAAAGUUUGCAGAUACCCUCUUUGUAGUCAGCAGCUAGCCGAAUCUUUGCUUUACAUCCUCAUUUAAAGCUCCUGUCUGAAAAAAAUAGAAAUGAAAUAUAGAGAAGCUGACUGAAAAACUGCCAUUUUGAAUGUGAGUGAUUACUUGCAGCGUCUUCUGAUCUUGCCACAGGCCUUCUAUUGUAUUCUGUCACAAAGUAGUCUCGAAGGGACUUCACUUUGUUCUUUGGAAAGAAAAAAGUAACAGGCAAGGUAUUAUUUAUGAUACAAUAAUGCUUGCAUACAAUGUUAUUGUCGAUGAUAAAAGUUCACAUAAACUAAGUCAUAAAUGAUUGUCCUAUUCCAGCUAGUCAAAUAUACCUUCACAAUUCAAAUGCUACUUUCAGAGACUCAGCUUUUAUGAUAAACGUCUUUUUUCAGAUUUCUUGCAUUAGGUAUGUCUUUUAAAUUCCUUGCCUUCAACUUCCUAGUGGGUGCCUCCAUUGUAGCACACAUGUAGGCCUUCAAAUGAAUGUUGCAUCCACGAAAAAAAGAACAGCCUUGUAGGUCAAUGUAGAAAGUGCCCACAAAGUGGAAAGGCAUAUUUUUUGUCAUGUCACUUUCUUCCAUUGAUUUUUAAAUCUGUAUAUAUUCAUGCACAAAAGUUUUAAAAUUGUAUGUUUCUUCCACUGACCCUUGGAUUUAUCUUGUUUUUUCCAUUGUGCUGGUAUUUUUUCCAAGACAGUAGUUAUCUAUUUCUUUCAUUGAUUUGAUUCAGAAAGUAGGCAAAAAAAAUAGUCACUUCAGGUUCAUAUAAGGGCAAAAACUCAGAAAGUGAGAAUUUGGGAUAUAUCUGGUUUCCUCCAGUGGUCUUUGUGUGUAUUGAAUAAAUUUUGCAAAAGUUUUUUGUUUCAAUGAAAGCUAAAGUAUGAGUACGUCUUCCCCAGUCUGGCUUCUUAACAGGUACCACUUGUUUUGUUUUUUGGGAGGUGGGGGGGUUGUUGUUGUUGAAAGAACCCUGUUUUGUAUACUUGUAUUGCUAGAGUUUACCUAUGUUGUCUACUUUAAGCAAAAUUUAAUGCACACAUUUGACUGCCAGUCAGGACCAACUGGGGCUGAAACUGAUACCACGUCCCAGCAGAAAGACGGAAAUACCCAAUUGAAAUUAUCCCCACAGGGAUCUUCUGCAUGCGACAGCAAAACACUACCACUAUACCACUACCACCUCAGACACUGGUAUACAUUUUUUAUACUCUUGUUUAAUUAGUUUCACAUACUGCAGUGUUAUGAAAUGUUUUGCAUAUACUCUUUGGGUAUGGAAAGAUUUCUCUGCAUGCAUAUAUCGAGUUUACAUAAUGAUGAUGCAACGGUCACCAAGUUUGAGAGGCAAGCUAUAAGUGAAAAGUUGGCUUGCUUUUUAUGGAAUGUUCAAUGUUAGUACAUGUAGGCUACAUGUAUACAUUUGUAACAUUGUGCUAUAGUAUAGUUUGCCCAUUGAAAUUUGUUUUUGAUUUCUACUAUUGACUUUCAUCCCAAUUUUCAAUGCCUUGCCAGCCUGAUGUCCCACAUAGUGUAUCAUUUCAUUUUUCUUGACAACUUUUUGACAUUUCUGAGCCAUGUAGCUGGGGGGAGGUCCAGGUUUAGUAGAGCUUCUAAAUGACUACCGUGGUAUUUGUGGACAAGCCUUUGAGUUUUAUUACGACAGACCUGAUUUGAAAAGAACAAUAGAAAUGUAAGAAACAUGAAAUGGAUACCUAAGUCUCUGUUUCUGUUGUUGUUGCAAAAAAUGGGUGUGCAGUUUGAUGUCCUUUACAAAUAAUACCAUUUUCCUUUGUAUUGUAUGCAGCAGUUCUAGUGUUCUUGUAUGCAGCAGUUCUAGUGUUCUUAGUAUGAUGAUGAGCUAUUUAGUGUGAGUCGUGUUUGAUCUCUAUUUUUCACAGCUGAUGCUGAUAAAUUCGUUGUGCAAGUUUUUCAUACUGUGCUUGUUCCUACACAUUAUUUCUUCUGGUUUAUAUCAUUAAAGAGUUUGUUUGUGGUGCAAAUGGACAUGUUGAAUUGUUCAUAAUUUCUCAGAGUUGACUUCCAAAGGGGGAACUGGGUGGCAGUCAAGCAUUCAUAGACAAUAAUGCUGCAUUUUUUCAAAGUGUAGGUAAAUGAGAUGAGGAUACAAACAUCAUUCUUGGGAUGAUGAGGAAAAAUUUUAACUUCGUGUAACAAUUAUUAUGUGUUAUUGUGAAGCACAAUAAUAAAUCAAUGUCAUCAUGAGUUGCAAAAUGUUAUUGAAGUGGUUCAGGGUAAACCUAAGCUGACAUAGUAGCCUUCUUGCUUGUGUAUCGAGUUAUUAUUAUGCCAUGUCUUUGUUACUUUGUUGCAGCGUUAUUUUUUGUGAUCCAAUCAAUUUUUCAAUAAAAACAUUUUACUUUUAAUUUA
Molecule: long non-coding RNA, 11024 nt
Filed under: Aplysia californica (California sea hare)
Lineage: Eukaryota; Metazoa; Mollusca; Gastropoda; Aplysiida; Aplysiidae
Description: uncharacterized LOC118478105
Source: RNAcentral